GACGAACGCUGGCGGCGUGCCUAAUACAUGCAAGUAGAACGCACAGUUUAUACCGUAGCUUGCUACACCAUAGACUGUGAGUUGCGAACGGGUGAGUAACGCGUAGGUAACCUGCCUGGUAGCGGGGGAUAACUAUUGGAAACGAUAGCUAAUACCGCAUAAUAUUAAUUAUUGCAUGAUAAUUAAUUGAAAGGUGCAAUUGCACCACUACCAGAUGGACCUGCGUUGUAUUAGCUAGUAGGUGAGGUAACGGCUCACCUAGGCGACGAUACAUAGCCGACCUGAGAGGGUGAUCGGCCACACUGGGACUGAGACACGGCCCAGACUCCUACGGGAGGCAGCAGUAGGGAAGCUUCGGCAAUGGACGAAAGUCUGACCGAGCAACGCCGCGUGAGUGAAGAAGGGUUUCGGAUCGUAAAGCUCUGUUGUAAGAGAAGAACGGGGGUGAGAGUGGAAAGUUCACACUGUGACGGUAUCUUACCAGAAAGGGACGGCUAACUACGUG
RNAcentral lists this ribosomal RNA (505 nucleotides) under uncultured bacterium. RNAcentral's name for it is "partial 16S ribosomal RNA". It matches the Rfam family "Bacterial small subunit ribosomal RNA", at positions 28 to 507 of the family's 1533-position model. The record is from RNAcentral.